AACUAAAUUGGAAACUAUCGGUAAUUUAAAGUAAACCUGCCGUCGAUGCUAUCGAUGUUGUAAACUAUCGAUGGCAUAGUUAUCGAUAGUUCUGCACCUUUAAUAAGCGCGAGCCGCAGACGUUAAACCACGUUAAACGGCGUCGCGAGGAAAAUAAGUAUUAUUUACGUAUCUUAAUAUAUAGCAAAAAUUAUAUCAAACGUCAAACAGUACAAAAAUGAAUACCACGGAAGCUGAGACUGUUGCCGAUCAAGUUCAGAAUAUGAUUAUUUCUCUUUGCGGUGAACAGAAGCCAGAGUUGAUUAGAAGAUUUAUGCGUUUUUCCCUUGGGUUAUUGUCAUCUACUCAUGGUAUAGAAACACUAAGAGAGGAUGAAGUAACUGUAGCAACAUAUAUAAGGAACAAAUUAUCGGAGCGUGAUGCAAUAGAAUUUGAUAAAUUACACAGUGAUUUAAAAGAUGGGCCACUGAAGAAUCGCAUAAGUAUUCUAAUAUUUUUGCUGAACAUGGGUCAGCCAGCAGAACAGAUAAAGGACAGAGUUUUCUCGUUUCCAGACAUGAAAUUGGGUUUAAGUCCAAUUGCAUCCACUAGUGGGCAAUCAUCACAAACAUCAUGUUCUCAAGCACAAGUCGUGUCUGUGAAUACCACAGAGACAAAUUCAAGAGGAUUAUUGGUAAACCAAAGUAAAAUAUUCAAUGAGGAGUACGUUUCAGAAGAUGUACUGGUCCAGGACUUGAUAUAUUCUUUUCAAAGUGUGGAAGGGAAGAUCUUAAAGUUAGACUCAAGCUACGGCUUUCAGAUAGAUUCCACAGCCAAAAUUAAUAGGUCACAAAGGCAAGCUGUUUCAAGACUGAGUGAGCUGGGAUACUUACAUAAUGUAGUGCGAAGAGGUUUGGAGAGAAUGUCCGGGGCCAAUGCAGGCAGGGUCGCCGACAGUUUUGUCGCUGCGCUGCAUAAAGAAUUGUCAGAAUAUUAUAGGUUUAUAGCCAUAAUGCAAGAAGAAGUGAAUAGAUCGCAAAAUCAAAUAGUUACGUACGGAGUUACACUCUCUCACCUGCAUCUCUGGACGUGCGAUCCUUUCGAGACAUUAAAGUGGUUGGCCAGCAUAGUGAGAGCCUGUCAAGGUCUAAAAGGCGGUGCAUUAGCGUCUGCCGUUUACAACUUUAGCUGUCACGGCGACGCGAACGUGAAGAAUCUUGUCAAGAGAAUCUUGGAAAGUGUCUGUAGUCCCUUGUACAAUAUGUUAAUGAAAUGGAUCGCUGAUGGAGAAUUGGACGAUCCGUAUAAAGAGUUCUUCAUUCAAGCGUGCGCCGAUGUUAGCGGCGACCGAAUGUGGCAUGACAAGUACCAGGUGAAAAAUUCCAUGUUGCCGUCGUUUAUCAGCAAGGCGCAAGCGAAGAAGAUUCUGGGGACGGGCAAGAGCAUCAACUUUUUGCGCGAAGUUUGCAAAGAUUUUACGCCGUGGCAAGGCAGACACACGGAUAUGUUCAUAAAUGGCGACGAAGUAUAUAAUGUUGAGGUUUUUUUCGAUAUGGACCCGGACGGUCGCUUACAAACUACGAUGGACGCCGCUUACAAGGAAACCGCGGCUAGAGUUGUCGAGAUAUUAACGAAACAGUAUCAUCUAAUGGAACACCUACAGGGAAUCAAGAGUUACCUCUUGCUUGGCCAAGGCCACUUUAUCCAACACCUGAUGCACUUAUUAGGGCCCGAAUUGGCUAAGCCAUCGAAUUCCCUAUAUCCUCAUAACAUAUCAUCUAUACUCGAUACCGCAAUAAGAGCGACCAGUACAAAAUUGGACGACUUAGAUGUUCAGAGACGCUUAGACGUCAGAUUAUUAGAUCCUUCAGAAAACGAAACAGGAUGGGACGUUUUCUAUUUAGAUUAUAAUGUCGACGGGCCGAUAGGCACAAUUCUGGAGCCAUGCAGGCAGACGUAUCAAACGGUAUUCUUCGCGUUAUGGCGGGCAAAGAGGAUGGAGUCGAUUCUGUCCGGUAUUUGGAAGCGGCAGACGACGUCGGCCAAAAUGUUCAGAAGAAUGCCGGAAGUGUUGCCGAUCCAGAACCAUAUACACUUGAUCACCAGCAGCAUGGUCCAUUUGGUUCAUCAGAUGCUAUAUUACUUUUUAUUCGAGGUGAUCGAGUGUUCAUGGGACACAUUCGCGAAGCAACUUGUUCAGGCAACGUCUCUCGACGACAUAAUCGUGGCUCAUAAUUAUUUUGUCGAUUCUGUCAGACAUGGUACAUUAUUAGACGAGAAGUCGCAGAAACUGAUGGAUCACCUACGCUCCGUCUACUACCCGAUCCAGGAUCUCCAGAAUCACGAGGAAACUUUCCUGGUGCGUGCUACUCAAGAAUACGAAGCGAGAUUAAAAACCGAUGGUUUUGCGCAACCGAAGAAAUCGGACCGUACGAAUAAAAAGGAUCAGGAAGCUGUGGAGAGAGAAGCGGCGUUUUCGAAGUAUCUGAACACGUUCUCGAGACAACUGAAACUACUUUCGAGAACUUAUCAAGAUCGUGUGAAAAAAUUUUUACUUAUGCUUGCCUCUGCUGAAGACGUAUCGUUGCAGUUACUCAGCGUACGAUUAGAUUUUAACGAAUAUUACAAGAGUCAGGAUAACCGACUAGUUGCGCCGUUAACGUAUCAACACCGUAGACAAAGCGAUCAGACUUUCUUUGGAUGCAAGUGACAAUCGGUAGCGGAAAAUUCAUUAGAAGCCUUAAGUGAUUCAAGUCACAUUUCUAAUAAAUGUUAUAUCCAAACCGCUGUACAGAAUUCGUCUGAUUUUAACAACCACAAUCGUCCGAAAUGAUGACAGAUAUCGAUGGCUCUGUCGCUUUGCACAAAAGAAGGUGUAGAACCAAUCUGAAAAAUGCCGAACUAAGUAAACGUACGUUUAGGAUAUUUUUGGAAAAACAGAUAUUGUCACACGUUAAAGUAGAGAUACGGAAAAAUACCGACGAGGUUCAAACUCCUUCAACGCCCGUCUUCGACUAUAACGAGGGCGAUCUUACGUUAAAUUAUGCACGAUUAGCGUUUCAGCCGUUUCGAACAACCAUGUCCGGAGAGAAGUCGUUCAUUAAAAGUGAUUUGAAUCUACCGAGCUUAGAAGCUGAGGCGUGUCCCAUUGACAAAGCUGUAAGAGUGGCUGAUGCAAC
This 3158-nucleotide unclassified non-coding RNA is filed under the name Harpegnathos saltator (Jerdon's jumping ant). RNAcentral describes it as "gamma-tubulin complex component 3, transcript variant X1". Lineage: Eukaryota; Metazoa; Arthropoda; Insecta; Hymenoptera; Formicidae. The record is from RNAcentral.